RNAcentral lists this ribosomal RNA (460 nucleotides) under Tetraclitella divisa. RNAcentral's name for it is "partial 12S ribosomal RNA". The record is from RNAcentral. Lineage: Eukaryota; Metazoa; Arthropoda; Thecostraca; Balanomorpha; Tetraclitidae.
UUUGUUUUUAUUUUAGGGUAGAAUCUUAAUAGGAAGAAAUAAUAAUAGUGUAAGACAUAUUACUUAUUUUAUGGACCAGGAUUAGAUACCCUGUUACUUUUAUGUAAGUUUUUUUGGAUUAAUAAUGUUAAUGAAAUUUAACGGAUUUGGCGGCAAGAUAGCCCCUUAGAGGAACCUGCCCUGUAAACGAUGAACCACGAGUACUUUACUUUCUUUUGUAGGUCAGUUUGUAUAUCGCUGUUGUCAGUUGAAUUUUAGAAAAUAUUUUCGUUAAUGAAAAAAUCAUUGACUUCAAGUAAAGGUGCAGCUUAUAGGAAAGAUAGAGGUGGGUUACAUUUAGAAGAUUAAAAUGGAUUGGAAAAAGAAAUAUUUCAUGAAGGUGGAUUUAACAGUAAAAUUUAAUAAAGUUUGAUUGGAGCUCUAUCUUGUGUACACACCGCCCGUCGCUCUCUUUUUUAAA